AGCAGAAAACUCAUACAGGUCUGAAACACAUUAGGGACUGCCGCCUCCGUGGUGCCCGUCCAGACAAUUGCAGCUGCAUUCCACCGAGGACUGGAUGAUCGCAGCAUUUUCCUCCUUAAAUUCAGAUACUCGUUGAAGUGAGACUCCCAUAAGAUGUCUAAUGAAGCAAAUAAGUGAUUCAGUGCUGGUUUUGAAGAGGCAGGAGGGAGCAAAAACAUUGCAACGCCGAGGCUGGGACCCACAAGACAGUGCUGUCGACUCUCAUUUAGAUGUUUUACUAAGACUCUGCCAAAAGUGUUUUUUCACCAUUUGUUCCGAAUAAUCAGAGAAAACCCUCAGAGCUCAACUUUCGCUUUGAGAAUGUGGAAACAAAGACAAAGACAUGCCUGCCGGGCCCGAAGUAAAUCUGGAAUACUAGUUUAGCAAGUCUAAUGCAUUCAGUUUAUGUGGUGUAAGAAGUGUAAUUAAAUGUCACUGAUUAGAUCACUCAGAAAUGAAUAUUCUGUUGUACUUAAGUUGUUUUGCGGUUUUAUGACGGCAUUUCUUCCUUGGAAUUGACACGCUUGCACAUUAUAAACUUAGUUGUAUCACAGUAGCUCUCUGUGAAAUUUAAUCAUUAUUUGCUCAUUAUGUUGACCACUAGAGGGCUGUUAACUAUUAGAAAUGGUGUUAAGUAUAACCAACAGUACUUUAGUCUUUAUGUGUUCCUUUUUAGUUCCAUUUUAGAUGGUUUAAGUAAGUUUGCUAGCCUUUGAAACUUUUAUUUGUUUUUUAAUGAAAAAAAAAAAACUAAUUAGAAAUGAAAUAGUUUGGGUUUAAAAACUGGAUUAAAUUGUGUAUUCAUUGACAAACUCA
Non-coding RNA from Danio rerio (zebrafish), 855 nucleotides. The record is from RefSeq and is a predicted model, not a curated record. NCBI's taxonomy places the organism in Eukaryota, Metazoa, Chordata, Actinopteri, Cypriniformes, Danionidae.